AGAAAACGGACAGCGAGCGCGAGAAGGCGGGUAACCAAUAUAACCUACGGCAUUACUACAUAGUUAAGAGCCACAAGAAAUUCAUCAGCUGAAGAGCUGAACUCCGCGAAAACUGGAUGCUGGCUAGAUCCCUGAAAGGAAGAGAUGGCAGAUUCCCAACUUGCGAGUGUAUUCUUUGAGGAUUUGGCAAGAAAGAAGAAAAAGUCAAAGAACAGUGAAAAAUGCAAAAAAGACAAGCUCAAAGUGAGGAAGGCAGGGAAGCAACUGUUCUGGGCAGACAAGUCUGAAGACUGUUUUGCCAGCAUGACUCAAAAAAAUACCAAAAAAGCUAAAAAAAACAAACAUAAAAAACGUAAGAAGGUGAAAUUAAAUCCAGUGGAGGGCUCUCUUUUUCCACCAAGGCAAGGUAAAUACAAAGGUGAGCUCCUAGGUUGUCUGAAUGAAAGCAAACUUGCACCUGUUACAACACAGCUGGGCACAUAUGAAGAUAUCAGAUAUGCUGGCU
This is a long non-coding RNA of Brienomyrus brachyistius, 505 nucleotides long. RefSeq lists it as uncharacterized. NCBI's taxonomy places the organism in Eukaryota, Metazoa, Chordata, Actinopteri, Osteoglossiformes, Mormyridae. The transcript is spliced from 3 exons. The record is from RefSeq and is a predicted model, not a curated record.